AGAUUGAACGCUGGCGGCAGGCCUAACACAUGCAAGUCGAGCGGCAGCACGGGUACUUGUACCUGGUGGCGAGCGGCGGACGGGUGAGUAAUGCCUAGGAAUCUGCCUGGUAGUGGGGGAUAACGCUCGGAAACGGACGCUAAUACCGCAUACGUCCUACGGGAGAAAGCGAGGGGACCUUCGGGCCUUGCGCUAUCAGAUGAGCCUAGGUCGGAUUAGCUAGUUGGUGAGGUAAUGGCUCACCAAGGCGACGAUCCGUAACUGGUCUGAGAGGAUGAUCAGUCACACUGGAACCGAGACACGGUCCA
This 308-nucleotide ribosomal RNA is filed under the name uncultured soil bacterium. RNAcentral describes it as "bacterial SSU rRNA". It matches the Rfam family "Bacterial small subunit ribosomal RNA", at positions 26 to 333 of the family's 1533-position model. The record is from RNAcentral.